AGUGAACGCUGGCGGUAGGCCUAACACAUGCAAGUCGAACGGCAGCACAGUAAGAGCUUGCUCUUACGGGUGGCGAGUGGCGGACGGGUGAGGAAUACAUCGGAAUCUACUUUUUCGUGGGGGAUAACGUAGGGAAACUUACGCUAAUACCGCAUACGACCUACGGGUGAAAGCAGGGGAUCUUCGGACCUUGCGCGAUUGAAUGAGCCGAUGUCGGAUUAGCUAGUUGGCGGGGUAAAGGCCCACCAAGGCGACGAUCCGUAGCUGGUCUGAGAGGAUGAUCAGCCACACUGGAACGGAGACACGGUCCAGACUCCUACGGGAGGCAGCAGUGGGGAAUAUUGGGCAAUGGGCGCAAGCCUGAUCCAGCCAUACCGCGUGGGUGAAGAAGGCCUUCGGGUUGUAAAGCCCUUUUGUUGGGAAAGAAAAGCAGCAGGUUAAUACCCCGCUGUUCUGACGGUACCCAAAGAAUAAGCACCGGCUAACUUCGUG
RNAcentral lists this ribosomal RNA (492 nucleotides) under uncultured bacterium. RNAcentral's name for it is "partial 16S ribosomal RNA". It matches the Rfam family "Bacterial small subunit ribosomal RNA", at positions 29 to 507 of the family's 1533-position model. The record is from RNAcentral.